CACUUUGAUUAAAUUUUGUAGAACUGUGUUGUAGCUGGAAUCUAAUUGGCUUAGAGUUAUGUGCAUAAUGUAGUUUUAAACUGUUAGUUUCAAAAGCCAAUUAGGACAAAUGGCUCUGCUCUUUGUGAUUGCUUUUUGGCUGUUAUCUUUUAAUUUUCCACUUAUGUAUUUUUGUCUUAUGAAAUUUUAUAACAAUAUGAUUGUUUUAGUUCUGGGGAGUAUUUCAACCUAUUUAUAUAUUUAAUUGGCAUCUUUUAGAUGGUUGGGAUUUUCUAGGUCCUGUCAGAGUUCUAUGCAUUCACUAAAUUUUCUAUGAUAUGCGACAAAUUUCGGAAAGCAUGUUAUUUAUCUAAAAUGACCAAGAGUUGAAUGGCACUCUUGUUAGACAUUUGGCUUUGGAUAUCUUUGAAGAAAUCAUUAUUGCUCCAGCUUCUUGUUUCGGAAUAGAUUCUUAUAACUUGGCAUUGGAGUCUCAGCUCAAAUAUUCUAAUCACGCUCUUUCAUAAAACUCGCAUUCAUGUGUAGUUUCUGAUUGUCUUAUUGUUUAUUAGGGACUCAACAAGUCACUGAUAGAGGGAAUAAAGAGGGAAGAGAGGAAUUGCUUGUAGUUUUACUGAGCCACAUUCAGAUCUUGAGGGUGACAAUGAGGAGUUACUUUCAGUUUGCUUUGGGUUGGAGAAUUUGUGAGUUGGUUAAUUUGUUGUAACUGUCAGGUUAGUUAGAAAUCAGAAGUUAGUUUGUUUCAGAUUUUGACAAUUUGCUGCACUAUAUCUAUUAGACUAGCUUGUUAUAACAGUUAUUUUAGUUUCAGAAGUUAGUGUCGAUUAGUUUUAAAUUCUUAUCAUUAUAGAACUUGAUAGCAAGGAAUUUGAUUCAAGAGCUGUAAUCUUGCAUGUUUCUAAAUUCUAAGUGGUAGGUUCAAUCCCCUAUUUCAGCUCUUUUCCAUUUCUUGAAGAUAAGUAUUGUUCAUAAGUGUAGCAAUGGUUGUACUAAUAAGGUGAGUUGCAGAAGGAUCUAAAUGUGGGUGUAGAUGGUAAACUAGUGAACUAGUGAAGUUAAAGUUUAUCAAUUGAUUGCCCUAAUUUCCCAGAUUAUUUAUCCAAAUGGGGUUCCAUCAUUAUUAUAAUAAUUAAUAAACAGCUUUCAUGCAAUUUCAGCAUGAGAAAGCAGAAAGCUUUUUGAGGAAGAGUGAAUAUUGAAUGGCAGGGUCAACAGGGUUUCACGUUCAGAAAUCAGAGGAGGAAUGGAGGGCCAUUCUCUCCCCUGAGCAGUUCAAGAUCCUACGCCAGAAGGGAACUGAAUUGAAGGGAGAAGUACAGUAUUUUAUUGGUGUUCAACUCGACAAUAGCCAACAUGUGGAGCCUCUUCACAACUGCAUCACAGAAAAUACUACAAAAGAAGGAGAACAACUGGUUUGGACUCUAUUCAAGUGCUUCAUUAAUUUACCAUAUACUAAGUCUCAAAUCAUUAAACUCUAUUAACAUCAUUACAUAUUCAACUUGUGCCAAAUAUUGAAGUCUUCAAAACAUAAAAAUGGUGACUUCCAUUAAAAUUUAUGUAACCUUGGUUUUGUAGAUCUUGGAUAGUGGAGAACAGGCUUAAAGCACUUUAGGCUAGUUAAACCUUUGUAAUUAGAAGAUACUGGCAGGUUUUAAUUUGUUCUUCCCUAUUACUCUUUCGUAUUUCCGACAUAUCUGAGAACUUUAUCGGUGAAUUUUCCUCUACCGAUAGCGAACAAUUCAAGAGAACUCAAUAUUUUGAAAACUUAAAUUUUAACUUCUAUAUAUUCUUUUAAAGAAGAGGCUGCCAGGUAUAAUAAUAUUAUGCUACUACAUGCACAUGUCUCCUACUUUCUUCAAGCUGACAUUAAGUUCUCAAUAUUCAUAGAUUUUAUGUUACUGAGGUCGUGGUUGCAUUGGAGUAUCUUCAUUGUCAAGAGAGUAAUAGAAGGGGAAUCGUCUAGUUCCAUUGAGAAGCAUUUAGUUUCUAUCGAGGCAAGAUUAGAAAUUUCACUUCCUUUCUUGACAAAGUUACAGUGGUAACAAAUGUUGUCAGCCUUGAUUAAAAUUGUUCUUCACACCUAUUUCAAGCUGGUUUAUUUUCUGAUUAUGAACUGAAUAGUAGAAAAAAAAUUCUGCAGUUCCAUCUUUGUUUUCUUUGUGUCUAUUGUGCAGGUUAGCACUUCGCUAUUUCGAUUUAUUAAAGUCAAUUCAUGAAAACAGAAAAAAGAUUGACAAUUCUUAUGGAUUCUGGCAGCAAAAAUAUUAGAAGGGCAUGGAUUAUAGGAAGUCAUAAUGGUGAAGACAGAAUUGCUCCACUAUUUGUGUUGAGCCUCUUUUUAAAAAAUAAAAUGGCGAAGACAGAAUUGAUGUAGGAUAUAAUAUUUUAGUUUUUGGUAGAGUAUUAGUAGUAAAUUCUAAGUGGUUUCACGUUUAUUUUGAUAUAGCUAUGCUUAAUUUAGCAUGAGAUGUAUGAAUAUUAAUACUUUUGGAUCAUUAUAAAUAUAUUUUAUUUACAGAUAA
Arachis stenosperma is the source of this 2522-nucleotide long non-coding RNA. RefSeq lists it as uncharacterized. The record is from RefSeq and is a predicted model, not a curated record. NCBI's taxonomy places the organism in Eukaryota, Viridiplantae, Streptophyta, Magnoliopsida, Fabales, Fabaceae. The transcript is spliced from 5 exons.